Molecule: ribosomal RNA, 450 nt
Filed under: uncultured bacterium
Lineage: Bacteria
Description: partial 16S ribosomal RNA
Rfam family: Bacterial small subunit ribosomal RNA
Source: RNAcentral
GUGGGGAAUUUUGGACAAUGGGCGCAAGCCUGAUCCAGCAAUGCCGCGUGCAGGAAGAAGGCCUUCGGGUUGUAAACUGCUUUUGUACGGAACGAAACGGCUCUGGUUAAUACCCGGGGCUAAUGACGGUACCGUAAGAAUAAGCACCGGCUAACUACGUGCCAGCAGCCGCGGUAAUACGUAGGGUGCGAGCGUUAAUCGGAAUUACUGGGCGUAAAGCGUGCGCAGGCGGUGCUGUAAGACAGGCGUGAAAUCCCCGGGCUCAACCUGGGAAUUGCGCUUGUGACUGCAGUGCUGGAGUGCGGCAGAGGGGGAUGGAAUUCCGCGUGUAGCAGUGAAAUGCGUAGAUAUGCGGAGGAACACCGAUGGCGAAGGCAAUCCCCUGGGCCUGCACUGACGCUCAUGCACGAAAGCGUGGGGAGCAAACAGGAUUAGAUACCCGGGUAGUCC